UACGGCCAUAUCACGUUGAAACAUCGGUUCACGUACAAUCACUGAAGUUAAGCAACGUCGAGGGUGGGCAGUACCUAGAUGGGUGACCGCGUGAGAAUUCCAGGUGCUGUAAG
Acanthosepion pharaonis is the source of this 113-nucleotide non-coding RNA. The record is from the annotation of a GenBank genome assembly. Lineage: Eukaryota; Metazoa; Mollusca; Cephalopoda; Sepiida; Sepiidae.